This 440-nucleotide ribosomal RNA is filed under the name uncultured bacterium. RNAcentral describes it as "partial 16S ribosomal RNA". It matches the Rfam family "Bacterial small subunit ribosomal RNA", at positions 338 to 795 of the family's 1533-position model. The record is from RNAcentral.
CCUACGGGAGGCAGCAGUGGGGAAUAUUGCACAAUGGGGGAAACCCUGAUGCAGCGACGCCGCGUGAGGGAAGAAGUAAUUCGUUAUGGAAAGCUCCAUCAGUAGGGAAGAAAAUGACGGUACCUGAGUAAGAAGCCCCGUCGAACUCCGUGCCAGCAGCCGCGGUAAUACGGAGGGGGCAAGCGUUAUCCGGAUUUACUGGGUGUAAUGGGAGCGUAGACGGCAGUGCAAGUCUGGAGUGAAAGGCGGGGGCUCAACCCCCGGACUGCUCUGGAAACUGUACGGCUGGAGUGCAGGAGAGGUAAGUGGAAUUCGUGGUGUAGCGGUGAAAUGCGUAGAUAUUAGGAGGAACACCAGUGGCGAAGGCGGCUUACUGGACUGUAACUGACGUUGAGGCUCGAAAGCGUGGGGAGCAAACAGGAUUAGAUACCCUUGUAGUC